CAGAUUAACUCAUAACUACUCCUAAUUAAUACUUUAAUAAAAAUAAAACAAAAUCUCUCAUUCUUCUAUUGGAUUUUCUUCAUCAAACCACCUUAGAGGAUCAAAUCCAAACGUGCCUAAAUUUGCUUCAUUCUUCAAUUAAAGGUACCUCCGAAAUUAGGUAAAAGCGUCUCUUUUGAGGCAGAACACUUAUCUUUUUCCAUCUUUCGAGCUCAAACAAUUUUCUCUAGUGGGUUCUACUUUUCAAUUCUUUAGUGCUGUGAGGAUGAUUCUUCUCAGAUCUUUGCUCCUGUCAGUAUGAGGUGCUGCUUCAACUACUUUCUUUUGCUCCCUUCUGCACCACCUUUGGUGCUUAUGCUCCACUGCCCUCCUCACCACAUCACCAUCUCUGCCUUCUUCAAAACAUCAU
This 409-nucleotide long non-coding RNA is filed under the name Durio zibethinus. RNAcentral's name for it is "long non-coding RNA (DZIB_LNC001193)". Lineage: Eukaryota; Viridiplantae; Streptophyta; Magnoliopsida; Malvales; Malvaceae. The record is from RNAcentral.